CCCCGUUGAAACACCAGUUCUCAUAUGAUCACUACAGUUAAGCAAUGUCGAGCCUGGUUCGUACCUAGAUGAGUGACUGCUUGGAAAUACCAGGUGCU
Non-coding RNA from Acanthosepion pharaonis, 98 nucleotides. The record is from the annotation of a GenBank genome assembly. NCBI's taxonomy places the organism in Eukaryota, Metazoa, Mollusca, Cephalopoda, Sepiida, Sepiidae.